This 481-nucleotide ribosomal RNA is filed under the name uncultured bacterium. Its description in RNAcentral is "partial 16S ribosomal RNA". It matches the Rfam family "Bacterial small subunit ribosomal RNA", at positions 28 to 523 of the family's 1533-position model. The record is from RNAcentral.
GACGAACGCUGGCGGCGUGCUUAACACAUGCAAGUCGAACGGUGAAAGGGAGCUUGCUCCCUGGAUCAGUGGCGAACGGGUGAGUAACACGUGGGCAACCUGCCCCAGACUUCGGGAUCACGCUUCGAAAGAGGUGCUAAUACCGGAUACGAACUCCUUGGGCAUCCUUGGAGUUGGAAAGUUUUUCGGUCUGGGAUGGGCACGCGGCCUAUCAGCUUGUUGGUGAGGUACCGGCUCACCAAGGCGACGACGGGUAGCCGGCCUGAGAGGGCGACCGGCCACACUGGGACUGAGACACGGCCCAGACUCCUACGGGAGGCAGCAGUGGGGAAUAUUGCGCAAUGGGCGAAAGCCUGACGCAGCAACGCCGCGUGAGGGAUGACGGCCUUCGGGUUGUAAACCUCUUUCAGCAGGGAAGAAGCGAAAGUGACGGUACCUGCAGAAGAAGCACCGGCUAACUACGUGCCAGCCGCCGCGGUAA